This is a long non-coding RNA of Planococcus citri (citrus mealybug), 483 nucleotides long. RefSeq lists it as uncharacterized. The transcript is spliced from 3 exons. Lineage: Eukaryota; Metazoa; Arthropoda; Insecta; Hemiptera; Pseudococcidae. The record is from RefSeq and is a predicted model, not a curated record.
GUACGUGUCCGAUCCAAUCCAACUCCGGAUUACACGGAUCAACGAGAAUUUCAUCAUUCUUUAAUACUUUUACUUUUCGAACAAGCCCCAGUGCCCAGUGCACUUACGUUACAUACAUUUGCGAGAAGGUUCCGUAACGAUUGUUCCAGUAAUUUUGUAUCAUCAGAACUCAGAAGAUGUUGGCGUUGAAAAUUGAAGUAGAAGAACAAAGACGUAAAAUCGAGUCGAUGGAGAAAGAAUUAAAGGAUAAAAAGGAACUCGAGUUAGCGAAACAGAAGCUCGAGAUGGAGAAGAAACAACUUCAAAGUAAAGUUGAUCAACUGCUGUCUCAGGGCCCGUGGUGGAAAUUUUGGUAAUUGGAAGAGUUUUUCGUUUCGGUAUUCAAUGUACGUGUGAAAAUAACGUUAUUUCGAACACUGUUGUUAUUAUGUAUCCAAAUUCAAUGUAAUUCAUAGAAUAAACUGAAUAUUGUAAAAGGUUGAA